RNAcentral lists this small nucleolar RNA (105 nucleotides) under Thalictrum thalictroides. RNAcentral's name for it is "Plant small nucleolar RNA R71". It matches the Rfam family "Plant small nucleolar RNA R71". Rfam says of the family: R71 is a member of the C/D box family of snoRNAs containing the C (UGAUGA) and D (CUGA) box motifs. Multiple nearly identical copies of this snoRNA have been identified in Arabidopsis, and it is thought to function as a 2'-O-ribose methylation guide for 18S ribosomal RNA. The record is from Rfam by way of RNAcentral. Lineage: Eukaryota; Viridiplantae; Streptophyta; Magnoliopsida; Ranunculales; Ranunculaceae.
AUUUGAUGAAGUGGACAUUGUAUUUGUAACUCCCCAAUCUUUCGCAAGCUUCGAAGAAUUCCUCCGUAUGCUUCUAUCUAAAAUUUUGGAUCUUGUUUCUUAACU